GGAAUGAGAAUCGAUAGGCGAGAGGUAGAAGGAUGUAAUCAGGACCUUUCGCCACCAAUCAGAAGAAGGAGGAGGAGGAGGUUUGCUGAAGGAAAGUCUACAGAGGAGGAAGGGAUGUGUUGAUCGAUUGGGUUUUCCGGAUAGUUGAAUUAGAAAUCCAUUUUUUUUGUAACUACCUUGAUUCCUAGGCAUCAUCCGAAACCCGUUCUCCUGAUUUGAGCUGAAUCCCUCCCUCGAUUUCAGUCUGUUCCCAGUUUGGGAAUUUCCGUUUCACCUUCAGAGUUUCAAUCUUCAAAGGUAAAAGAGAUUUGUGAUGGUGAACAGGGGGCGGGAAGAGGAAGAAGAAGGUGAUCCUGGGUUAUUGGGUUUUGCUGUGAGGAGGAAGAACACCUGCGUUUUGGAUAACUCUGCUUAGUACGUUUAGCGUUCCUACUAAGCAGAGGCAGAGGAAAGGAAAUUCCAAAAGAGGCUGAUAUGUGCAAGGCCAAUGCUUGCGUGCUGAUCAUGUAUUGCUUAAGAACGGUGAUUGAGCAAAGGAGAAGAGGACGGCGUUGGGCCUGGGUUUGUGAUUGAAAUUAUCUGUCUGUUAAUGUAAAUGUACAAUGAAUGUAUAAAACUUAGGAAGCAAACAAAUCUGCAGUGUUUGUGAUUGAAAUUACCUGCCUGUUAGUGUAAAUGUACGAUGAAUGUAUAAAACUUAGCAAGCAAUCAAACC
RNAcentral lists this long non-coding RNA (715 nucleotides) under Rosa chinensis. Its description in RNAcentral is "sRNA RchiOBHm_Chr7g0205041". Lineage: Eukaryota; Viridiplantae; Streptophyta; Magnoliopsida; Rosales; Rosaceae. The record is from RNAcentral.